GAUGAACGCUAGCUACAGGCUUAACACAUGCAAGUCGAGGGGCAUCAGUUUGGUUUGCUUGCAAACCAAAGCUGGCGACCGGCGCACGGGUGAGUAACACGUAUCCAACCCGCCUCAUACUCGGGGAUAGCCUCUCGAAAGAAAGAUUAAUAUCCGAUAGCAUAUAUUUCCCGCAUGGGUUUUAUAUUAAAGAAAUUCGGUAUGAGAUGGGGAUGCGUUCCAUUAGUUUGUUGGGGGGGUAACGGCCCACCAAGACUACGAUGGAUAGGGGUUCUGAGAGGAAGGUCCCCCACAUUGGAACUGAGACACGGUCCAAACUCCUACGGGAGGCAGCAGUGAGGAAUAUUGGUCAAUGGACGCGAGUCUGAACCAGCCAAGUAGCGUGAAGGAUGACUGCCCUAUGGGUUGUAAACUUCUUUUAUAUGGGAAUAAAGUUGUCCACGUGUGGAUUUUUGUAUGUACCAUAUGAAUAAGGAUCGGCUAACUCCGUGCCAGCAGCCGCGGUAAUACGGAGGAUCCGAGCGUUAUCCGGAUUUAUUGGGUUUAAAGGGAGCGUAGGCGGAUUGUUAAGUCAGUUGUGAAAGUUUGCGGCUCAACCGUAAAAUUGCAGUUGAUACUGGCAGUCUUGAGUGCAGUAGAGGUGGGCGGAAUUCGUGGUGUAGCGGUGAAAUGCUUAGAUAUCACGAAGAACUCCGAUUGCGAAGGCAGCUCACUGGAGUGUAACUGACGCUGAUGCUCGAAAGUGUGGGUAUCAAACAGG
This 760-nucleotide ribosomal RNA is filed under the name Bacteroides caccae. RNAcentral's name for it is "bacterial SSU rRNA". It matches the Rfam family "Bacterial small subunit ribosomal RNA", at positions 28 to 776 of the family's 1533-position model. The record is from RNAcentral. Lineage: Bacteria; Pseudomonadati; Bacteroidota; Bacteroidia; Bacteroidales; Bacteroidaceae.